AAUGGGGUGUUAAUAUUUCAGAGUAAAGUUAUUUUAACCCAGAUAGAGUAUUUUCAACAUUUUUGAGAGUAAAGUUGCUCUAUCAGUGGAGUUAAAAGUGAGUGUAAAAAUCUGCAGAUACGCAGUGACAAUUUCAACUCUACAGCAGUGAUGAAUACCCGCCACUCUGCUUUGCUGAAGUUUGGCACGUACGUUGGUGGAGGAAGAUUGCGAAGGAGUAGCUAGGCCACAGAUAUUGCUAGAGGCAAAAUGCUGUUGCGUGUUCAGCUCGGGGAAGAGCAGAAAUACGUCAAGCUGUCUGAGCUGACAUUCAAUGCUUUCUUGAAAGAAGUGUGUCUAAAAUUCAACAUACCAGAAAGCAGAAAGCCAGACAUUAAGGUGUAUGACCAGUCUGACACAGAAGUUGACUCAGAUGUUUUUGAAGAAUUAGUAAAGGAGUCACCUGGAACUUUCAGAAUCAUGCUGGGCAAUGGACUUGAUACCUCUCAUUCAUCAUCAUGCUCGGGUACAUCUGAUGACACCAUCAUUCUGAAUUUCACUGUGUGUGACGAUGUUGAAGAAGUAGCGGCUGGCGAAGGAAGCCAG
Long non-coding RNA from Coregonus clupeaformis (lake whitefish), 585 nucleotides. RefSeq lists it as uncharacterized. The record is from RefSeq and is a predicted model, not a curated record. Lineage: Eukaryota; Metazoa; Chordata; Actinopteri; Salmoniformes; Salmonidae. The transcript is spliced from 4 exons.